GGAGAAGCGGCCGUUGAGGUGUUAAGUUGUAGCCUUAGUUAUGGAGGUAGAUCUCCCUUCUUCA
This 64-nucleotide transfer RNA is filed under the name Raeta pulchella. Its description in RNAcentral is "tRNA-Tyr". Lineage: Eukaryota; Metazoa; Mollusca; Bivalvia; Venerida; Anatinellidae. The record is from RNAcentral.